This 441-nucleotide ribosomal RNA is filed under the name uncultured bacterium. Its description in RNAcentral is "partial 16S ribosomal RNA". It matches the Rfam family "Bacterial small subunit ribosomal RNA", at positions 338 to 795 of the family's 1533-position model. The record is from RNAcentral.
CCUACGGGAGGCUGCAGUGGGGGAUAUUGCACAAUGGGGGGAACCCUGAUGCAGCGACGCCGCGUGGGUGAAGGAGUGCUUCUGCAUGUAAAGUCCUAUCGGCAGGGAAGAAGCAAGACGGUACCUGACUAAGAAGCCCCGGCUCACUACGUGCCAGCAGCCGCGGUAAUACGUAGGGGGCGAGCGUUAUCCGGAUUCACUGGGUGUAAAGGGAGCGUAGACGGCAAUGCAAGCCAGGGGUGAAAGCCCGGGGCCCAACCCCGAGACUGCCCUUUGAACUGAAGGGCUGGAGUGCGGGAGAGGCAGGCGGAAUUCCUGGUGUAGCGGUGAAAUGCGUAGAUAUCCGGAGGAACACCAGAGGCGAAGGCGGCCUGCUGGACAGCGACUGACGUUGAGGCUCGAAAGCGUGGGGAGCGAACAGGAUUAGAUACCCUUGUAGUC